This 2741-nucleotide long non-coding RNA is filed under the name Lathyrus oleraceus (garden pea). RNAcentral's name for it is "Pisum sativum (pea) long non-coding RNA (PSAT_LNC034711)". The record is from RNAcentral. Lineage: Eukaryota; Viridiplantae; Streptophyta; Magnoliopsida; Fabales; Fabaceae.
UUAGAUGUGCUGAAGAGACAAACACAACACAAUGAUGUACCGAGAAGUUAUAUAAUAAUUAUUAUAAUUUUAAGAUUUAUUUUACAAAUCUAUAAGGGCCAACAAUUAAAAAUUAAUAAAAGGUGAGGACACACUUUUAUUUAUAGAUUAUAAAGUUACAAAAUAAUUUAUUAAAAAUAAUGAGGAGAAAUAUGGUAGAAAUAAUAAAGUUUGCUUAUGUUGUGAUUAUACUAUUCUUUCUAUUUAUUAUUGGAACGAAAAUUGAAGGUAAGUUUUAUUUAUUUAUUUUAAAUUUUCUUUUCUAUUUCAUACGUUGUAUUUUAUCUCAUUUGAAUAACCUUAUUGUUUGUUUUUUAGUGCACCGGAUAAAUUCAAAUGUUUUGAUUAUUGAGAUUGUAAAAUCAGAAUUUAUUGUCUGCCUCCUUUUAAAAAGAAAAUGCAUAAACAAAAUUUAUUGUAAAUAUAUACUAGCGCAUGAAUUGUUUAAUCCGAUAAGAUAAAUAAAUACCUUAUGAGUUUACAAAUUUAUAUUUUAAUUGAGAGAACACACAAAUACCUAAUAUAUUUUAUUUUAUGUAUUGUCAUAUGUCAUUUGGAUAUUGUAUUGUUACCCCCAAUAAAAUAAUAUUUUUUUAAUUUUAUUUCAAGAAUCUAAUAGUUGGGGAUUUAUACACUAGUAUGAUUGAAAUGAAAUCAAAUAAGACAACAAAUAAUAAUAUUUUUAUUGUCAUUUCCUUUUUAAUUUUAGAAAAAACUAAUAAUAUUUUGAUUGUCUUUUUCCGUUUUAAGGAUGCACUUUUAUUUAUAAACUAUAAAGAUACAAAAUAAUUUAUUAAAAAUAACGAGGAGAAAUAUGGUAGAAAUAAUAAAUUUUUCUUAUGUUAUGAUUAUAUUAUUCUUUCUAUUUGAAAAUUGAAGAUAAGUUUUAUUCAUUCAUUUGAAAUUUUUUAUUUAUUUCAUAUGUUGUAUUUUUUUAUCAUUUUAAUAAGUUUAUUUUGUAUUUUUUAUUGCAGCGGAUAGAUUCAACUGUUUUAAUGAUUUAGAUUGUAAAAAUAGAAUUUAUUGUCGGCCUCCUUUAAAAAGGAAAUGCAUAAACCAGAAAUAUUGUAAAUGUGUACCACCGCAUAUCGCAUGAAUUGCUUAAUACCAGAAAAUAAAUAAAUACCUUUAUGUAUACUAGCGCAUUACUAGCACAUGAAUUGCUUAAUCCCAGAAGAUAAAUAAAUACCUUUAUGAGUUUACAAUUUUAUUUUUUAAUUGAAAGACUCAAGAGAACACACAAACACCAAAUAUAUUUUAUGCUGUCAUAUGUCAUUUGGAUAUUGUAUUGUUACCCCCAACAAUUUGAUUUUUUUUAAUUUUAUUUCAAGAAUCUAAUAGUUGUGGAUUUAUAUACUAGUAUGAUUAUAGUGAAAUGAAAUAAGACAAAAAAUAAUAAUAUUUUUAUUGUCUUUUCCUUUUUAAUUUAAAAAAAAAAUUGAUUGUCUUUUUCCCUUUUAAUUUUAGAGAAAUAUUCAUGACCUUCAUUUAUGCAUAUCACAUUUUCUUUUUAAUCAUGUCACCUCUCUGUAUAUUUAAAAACUAAAUUGAAAAUAAUUCAAAAUUUACUUAUAAUUUUAUAAUUCUAUAUUUAUAUAAUAAUAUUGUAAAACAAGUGAUCUUUCUCAUUCUCAAUUUAUAUUUCUCUUAUUUUUUUAAUAGUUACGGUGAUAAAUUGAAAAUAAUUCAAAAUUUACUUAUAAUUUUAUAAUUCUAUAUUUAUAUAAUAAUAUUGUAAAACAAGUGAUCUUUCUCAUUCUCAAUUUAUAUUUCUCUUAUUUUUUUAAUAGUUACGGUGACCUUGUUGAAUUUUAAAAGAUCUGAACCAAUAAAAUUUCAAUACACAUAUAAUAAUAACCUUGGAAAAAACUAUGGAAAUAUAAUUAAUUGUUUAUUUUUAUAAUAACCUUUGGAAAAACUUAUGGAGAUUAUAAUUAAGUGUUUACUUUUGUAUCUUGUAAGAGCAUAACAUUGAUACUUUAGUAGAUUUCGUUUCACUUAUCAUCUUUGUAUUUUAUUCAUUCAAGACUUGUUAGUUCUUCUAUUAAUAAUUUUCUUUCUUCGUGUCAUAAAUUUUUUUAUCCAAACUUUACAUGAGUCUCAAAUAGAGGUUACAUGUUAGUCAAGAAAUUAUGCGAAAAGGAUGUGACCCUAGAACCCUAUUCAAAACUGGAGAGAGCUAAUAUUCUCAUUGCGGGCGAGUCGUCUACUCCCUAUUAUUAUUUUUACUUGCCUGUUAUCCUUAUCCACGAGUUGGAGACUCUGGUCCCUUUUGCCUCUUUUAAGGCAGACUUUCUGGUGAUUAUUUACAUCGCCCCUUUCCAGAUUACCCCAAGGUAUGGAGCAUUCUUAUGGUUUUUGAUCGUGACUUAGUAAGUCUAUGUGAAUCGUGACUGCAAGUGCACAGUCCUAUCGCGUAGUUUUAAAGAUUAUCGAAUCCAUAAGGACUAAUAAUCGAACGUAUCAUUAUCUAAUGUUGUUAUGUAAAUUUAAGGCUGAUGAUUGUUCUAAGAUUGGAGGGAUGAAGAGAAAUAACUAUAAUGUAAAUAGAAUAAAGAUAUGAGAUAUAGGGGAUAUUGGUAUGUAAUACAUCAAACUUCAGGGAUUCGAUAGAUAGUUGGUGAAAUCUUAUUGCUGAAAUCUUAUUGGUUAAAAUAUUCUUCAGUAGAAAUUAUUUAAAGAAAGGACUUAGUCUCACACUC